This 253-nucleotide ribosomal RNA is filed under the name uncultured bacterium. Its description in RNAcentral is "partial 16S ribosomal RNA". It matches the Rfam family "Bacterial small subunit ribosomal RNA", at positions 524 to 776 of the family's 1533-position model. The record is from RNAcentral.
UACGAAGGGGGCUAGCGUUGUUCGGAAUUACUGGGCGUAAAGGGCGCGUAGGCGGUGUGUCAAGUCAGGCGUGAAAGCCCCGGGCUCAACCUGGGAACUGCGCUUGAGACUGGCACGCUCGAGUUCGGGAGAGGAUGGUGGAAUUCCCAGUGUAGAGGUGAAAUUCGUAGAUAUUGGGAAGAACACCGAUGGCGAAGGCAGCCAUCUGGACCGACACUGACGCUGAGGCGCGAAAGCGUGGGGAGCAAACAGG